RNAcentral lists this ribosomal RNA (1125 nucleotides) under Triticum aestivum (bread wheat). RNAcentral's name for it is "partial small subunit ribosomal RNA". Lineage: Eukaryota; Viridiplantae; Streptophyta; Magnoliopsida; Poales; Poaceae. The record is from RNAcentral.
AUGGCGACUCAGUGGUUCUCCAAUAUGGUAAUUUGCUGCUCGUCUUCUGAUAGCGUCGGGUGUAAUGGUGUGGGGCGAGCUGGGUGGCUGACUGGUUGUUCCUGGUUUGGUGGCGUGCAGGUGAUGGACGAGCCGAGUUUCUUCCACCAGUGGCAGUCGGACGCGACGCUGGAGCAGUACACGGAGCAGCAGAUCGCCGUGGCCUUCGGGCAGGGGGAGAUGGAGGCGGCGGCGCUGAUGCAGCAGCAGCAUCAGUACGCCGCGGCGGCGGCGGGCGAGCACCGGCCGCGCAAGGCGGCCAAGGUCAACACCAGCUGGGACUCGUGCGUCACGGAGCAGGGCUCCCCCGCCGACUCCUCCUCCCCGACCAUCCUCUCCUUCGGCGGCCACGCCGACGCGUUCGCCAAGGCGCCGCAGGCCCCCAGCGCCGCCGCCGCCUACUACGGCGCGGCCUCCGCGGCGGCGCCCGUGAAGCCCAAGCAGGAGGUUGACGCGGGGGCCGUGGCGUCGUUCCAGCAGGUCAAGCGGAGCUACGACGCCAUGGUCGCCGAGCCCGCCAGGGCGCCCUCCCGGCCGGCCGCCCAGAACCAGGACCACAUCAUGGCCGAGAGGAAGCGCCGGGAGAAGCUCAGCGAGCGCUUCAUCGCGCUCUCCAAGAUCGUGCCGGGCCUCAAGAAGAUGGACAAGGCGUCGGUGCUGGGCGACGCGAUCAAGUACGUCAAGACGCUGCAGGAGCAGGUGAAGGGCAUGGAGGAGGUGGCCCGGCGGCGGCCGGUGGAGUCGGCGGUGCUGGUCAAGAAGUCGCAGCUCGCCGCCGACGAGGACGACGGGUCGUCCUGCGACGAGAACUUCGAGGGCGCCGACGCCGGGCUGCCGGAGAUCGAGGCCCGGAUGUCGGACCGCACGGUGCUCGUCAAGAUCCACUGCGAGAACCGCAGGGGCGUCCUCGUCGCCGCGCUCUCCGAGCUCGAGAGCAUCGACCUCGCCAUCAUGAACACCAAUGUGCUCCCCUUCACCACCUCCUCCAUCGACAUCACCAUCAUGGCCACGGCCGGCGAAGACUUCUCGUUGUCUGUCAAGGACAUCGUCAGGAAGCUACAUCAAGCGUUCAAGUCGUCGCCAUGA